AUUGAACGCUGGCGGCGUGCCUAACACAUGCAAGUCGAGCGGUAACAGGUGUGGCAAUACAUGCUGACGAGCGGCGAACGGGUGAGUAAUGCUUCGGAAUCUACCCAAUGGUGGGGAAUAACCAGCCGAAAGGUUGGCUAAUACCGCAUACGUCCCACGGGAGAAAGCAGGGGAUCGCAAGACCUUGCGCCAAUGGAUGAGCCGAAGUCGGAUUAGCUAGUUGGAGGGUAACGGCCUACCAAGGCGACGAUCCGUAGCUGGUCUGAGAGGACGACCAGCCACACUGGGACUGAGACACGGCCCAGACUCCUACGGGAGGCAGCAGUGGGGAAUAUUGGACAAUGGGGGAAACCCUGAUCCAGCGACGCCGCGUGUGUGAAGAAGGCCUGC
This 390-nucleotide ribosomal RNA is filed under the name uncultured bacterium. Its description in RNAcentral is "bacterial SSU rRNA". It matches the Rfam family "Bacterial small subunit ribosomal RNA", at positions 29 to 419 of the family's 1533-position model. The record is from RNAcentral.